RNAcentral lists this ribosomal RNA (253 nucleotides) under uncultured bacterium. Its description in RNAcentral is "partial 16S ribosomal RNA". It matches the Rfam family "Bacterial small subunit ribosomal RNA", at positions 524 to 776 of the family's 1533-position model. The record is from RNAcentral.
UACGGAGGGAGCAACCGUUAUCCGGAUUCAUUGGGUGUAAAGGGUGCGUAGACGGGAAGUCAAGUUAGUUGUGAAAUCCCUCGGCUCAACUGAGGAACUGCAACUAAAACUAACAUUCUUGAGUGCUGGAGAGGAAAGUGGAAUUCCUAGUGUAGCGGUGAAAUGCGUAGAUAUUAGGAGGAACACCAGUGGCGAAGGCGACUUUCUGGACAGUAACUGACGUUGAGGCACGAAAGUGUGGGGAGCAAACAGG